GAAAGAAAAUAUUUCGAUUUCCAAAGUAGCGGCGAGCGAAAUGGAAAGAGCCUAAACCAGAGGAUUUAUCCUUUGGGGUUACGGACCGCAAUCAAGUGACAUGAAAGGUAGCAGAAUGGUUUUGGGAAAGCCAGCCAAAGAGAGUGAAAGCCUCGUAUGCGAAACCGGAAGUGAGCGAGCGGGAUCCAAAGUACCACGAGACACGAGAAACCUUGUGGGAAGUCGGGGGGACCACCCCCCAAGGCUAAAUACUACUUAGUGACCGAUAGAGCAUAGUACUGUGAAGGAAAGGUGAAAAGAACCCCGGGAGGGGAGUGAAAGAGAACCUGAAACCCUGUGUUUACAAGCUGUGGAACCUCUCUUAACAGAGGAACCGCGUACUUUUUGUAGAACGGUCCGGCGAGUUACAUUUACUGGCGAGGUUAAGAGCUUUAGGCUCGGAGCCGAAGGGAAACCAAGUCUGAA
This 465-nucleotide non-coding RNA is filed under the name Anaerocolumna jejuensis DSM 15929. RNAcentral's name for it is "Bacterial large subunit ribosomal RNA". It matches the Rfam family "Bacterial large subunit ribosomal RNA", at positions 216 to 687 of the family's 2925-position model. The record is from Rfam by way of RNAcentral. Lineage: Bacteria; Bacillati; Bacillota; Clostridia; Lachnospirales; Lachnospiraceae.